RNAcentral lists this ribosomal RNA (812 nucleotides) under Tetragonula mellipes. RNAcentral's name for it is "eukaryotic LSU rRNA". It matches the Rfam family "Eukaryotic large subunit ribosomal RNA", at positions 402 to 939 of the family's 3401-position model. Lineage: Eukaryota; Metazoa; Arthropoda; Insecta; Hymenoptera; Apidae. The record is from RNAcentral.
AAACCGUUCAGGGGUAAACCUGAGAAACCCAAAAGAUCGAAUGGGGAGAUUCAUCGUCGACGGCGUUGGCUACCGUUUGUGCGCGAUGCUCCGGGUGGGACCCUGCGGUUCCAUUAGCGAGGGCACGCCACCUUCGGAUCGAACUUUCCUGCGUCGUAGUCGUGCACUUCUCCCCUAGUAGGACGUCGCGACCCGUUGUGUGUCGGUCUACGGCCCGAGCGGGAGACUGUCGCGUCGCUUCGGCGCACGCGGCAGACCCUCGGUCGCCCGGCCGGCUGCACGACGGUACACCAACGGUAUCGGGCCGCAGCCAAUCCAUUCUCGAAUGUGUGUGCGUCCAUCCCGCCGCAAGCUCGGUCAGUUCUUACCCGGAGGUACGGACCCUGUGCCGUCCCCGGGCCUGGCCAGCUGUUAGCAGGCGGUGUCCUCGGACCGGCCAAACCUCGGAUUACCGGUCGGCGACGCUAUUGCUUUGGGUACUCUCAGGACCCGUCUUGAAACACGGACCAAGGAGUCUAACAUGUGCGCGAGUCAUUGGGAUGCACAAACCUAAAGGCGAAAUGAAAGUGAAAGUCGGCCUUCGCGCCGAUCGAGGGAGGAUGGGCCGCGUAACCAUGCGGCCCCGCACUCCCGGGGCGUCUCGUUCUCACUGCGAGAAGAGGCGCACCUAGAGCGUACACGUUGGGACCCGAAAGAUGGUGAACUAUGCCUGGUCAGGACGAAGUCAGGGGAAACCCUGAUGGAGGUCCGUAACGAUUCUGACGUGCAAAUCGAUCGUCGGAACUGGGUAUAGGGGCGAAAGACUAAUCGAA